RNAcentral lists this ribosomal RNA (379 nucleotides) under uncultured bacterium. Its description in RNAcentral is "bacterial SSU rRNA". It matches the Rfam family "Bacterial small subunit ribosomal RNA", at positions 28 to 412 of the family's 1533-position model. The record is from RNAcentral.
GACGAACGCUAGCGGCGUGCCUAAGGUAUGCAAGUCGAGCGGACAGGAGCAAUCCUGUUAGCGGCAAACGGUUGAGUAACACGUAGACAACCUGCCCGAAAGACGGGGAUAACUGCUCGAAAGGGCAGCUAAUACCGGAUGUGGCAAGAAGAGGCAUCUCUUCUCUGCUAAACGAGCAAUCGGCUUUCGGAUGGGUCUGCGGCCUAUCAGCUAGCUGGUGGGGAACGGCCUACCAGGGCGACGACGGGUAGCUGGUCUGAGAGGAUGACCAGCCAGACGGGGACUGAGACACGGCCCCGACUCCUUCGGGAGGCAGCAAUGAGGAAUAUUGCGCAAUGGGGGAAACCCGUCGACGCAGCGACGCCGCGUGGGUGAGGAA